AACCAAAGGGGGCGAGCGUAAGCAGCUUCUACCGAAGGAGGAGCCUGCGUCCGAUUAGCUAGUUGGUGGGGUAACGGCCUACCAAGGCGACGAUCGGUAGCCGGCCUGAGAGGGCGACCGGCCACACUGGAACUGAGACACGGUCCAGACUCCUACGGGAGGCAGCAGUGGGGAAUAUUGCGCAAUGGGCGAAAGCCUGACGCAGCGACGCCGUGUGGGUGAUGAAGGCCUUCGGGUCGUAAAGCCCUGUCGGGUGGAACGAAUCACUUGGCGGCAAAUAACCGCUAGGUUUGACGGUACCACCGAAGUGAGCCCCG
This 317-nucleotide ribosomal RNA is filed under the name uncultured bacterium. RNAcentral describes it as "SSU rRNA". It matches the Rfam family "Bacterial small subunit ribosomal RNA", at positions 199 to 495 of the family's 1533-position model. The record is from RNAcentral.